GGGAGAUGGCUCAGCAGUUAAGAGCACUGGCUGCUCUUCCAGAGGACCUGGGUUCUAUUCCCAGCACCCA
RNAcentral lists this transfer RNA (70 nucleotides) under Mus musculus (house mouse). It matches the Rfam family "tRNA". From Rfam's summary of the family: Transfer RNA (tRNA) molecules are approximately 80 nucleotides in length. RNAcentral also lists the same sequence under 1 other name. Lineage: Eukaryota; Metazoa; Chordata; Mammalia; Rodentia; Muridae. The record is from Rfam by way of RNAcentral.